GGGACUGUGGGGUAGCCUGGUCCAUCCUGUGCGUCUGGGGGGCGUGCGACCCGAGUUCAAAUCUCGGCAGUCCCACCA
RNAcentral lists this transfer RNA (78 nucleotides) under Methanothermococcus okinawensis. Its description in RNAcentral is "tRNA-Pro". The record is from RNAcentral. Lineage: Archaea; Methanobacteriati; Methanobacteriota; Methanococci; Methanococcales; Methanococcaceae.